RNAcentral lists this ribosomal RNA (451 nucleotides) under uncultured bacterium. RNAcentral's name for it is "bacterial SSU rRNA". It matches the Rfam family "Bacterial small subunit ribosomal RNA", at positions 29 to 524 of the family's 1533-position model. The record is from RNAcentral.
AACGAACGCUGGCGGCAGGCCUAACACAUGCAAGUCGAACGCUCGUAGCAAUACGGGAGUGGCAGACGGGUGCGUAACGCGUGGGAACAUACCCUUUGGUUCGGAAUAACUCAGGGAAACUUGAGCUAAUACCGGAUACGCCCGAGAGGGGAAAGAUUUAUUGCCGAAGGAUUGGCCCGCGUCUGAUUAGCUAGUUGGUGAGGUAACGGCUCACCAAGGCGACGAUCAGUAGCUGGUCUGAGAGGAUGAUCAGCCACACUGGGACUGAGACACGGCCCAGACUCCUACGGGAGGCAGCAGUGGGGAAUAUUGGACAAUGGGCGCAAGCCUGAUCCAGCCAUGCCGCGUGAGUGAUGACGGCCUUAGGGUUGUAAAGCUCUUUUACCCGGGAAGAUAAUGACGGUACCGGAGAAUAAGCCCCGGCUAACUUCGUGCCAGCAGCCGCGGUAAU